UCGGGAAUUUUGGGCAAUGGGGGCAACCCUGAUCCAGCCAUGCCGCGUGAGUGAAGAAGGCCUUCGGGUUGUAAAGCUCUUUCGGCGGGGACGAAACGGUCCGUGACAACACCACGGACUAAUGACAGUACUCGCAGAAGAAGCACCGGCUAACUACGUGCCAGCAGCCGCGGUAAUACGUAGGGUGCAGGCGUUAAUCGGAAUUACUGGGCGUAAAGCGUGCGCAGGCGGCUCCUUAAGUCAGAUGUGAAAUCCCCGGGCUUAACCUGGGAACUGCGUUUGAAACUGAGGGGCUAGAGUGUGGAAGAGGGGGGUGGAAUUCCAGGUGUAGCAGUGAAAUGCGUAGAGAUCUGGAGGAACACCGAUGGCGAAGGCAGCCCCCUGGGCUAACACUGACGCUCAUGCACGAAAGCGUGGGGAGCAAACAGGAUUAGAUACCCACGUAGUCCCUGAGCGGGCUGGCAAGGCGCAU
This 472-nucleotide ribosomal RNA is filed under the name uncultured bacterium. RNAcentral's name for it is "bacterial SSU rRNA". It matches the Rfam family "Bacterial small subunit ribosomal RNA", at positions 355 to 825 of the family's 1533-position model. The record is from RNAcentral.